GGCUUGGUGGAUCAUUCAGGAGCUCAAGGUAAAACCAGAGAACUCUGCAGAGAUAGUCUGCUAGCAAUUACACGGAGGACUUCCUUAACAUAGGAGGGUUUUGUAUGACUGGAUGUGUUUUUAAAAGAUACACAGUAAUUCAAACAGAAGUUAUGGGCUUGAUGCAGAAAUUACUGGACUGAGCCCCUGUUUCUCUUGUGAACCAAAGUGGUCUUCCUAAUUUGAGUUCUGGCUGACUGUGUCCACUCCUAAUUAAAGGCAUGUGCUGGUUCAAGGGGAUUAGAAAACGGAUCUCAUGACCAACAGUGGGUUACUCAGAUCCAGAUAACUCUUUCAUCCAAGAGUUUUAAAAGAGCUGGCUGGGGAGCUUGCUGAACUGUUCCUGUUAAUUUUCAAAAAGUCUUGGAAAACUGAGGAAGUUCUAGAAGAUUGGAAGAAAUCUAAUGUUGUGCCAAUAUUUAAAAAGUAUAAACAGAAUGACUCAGAUCAAUCCUCCAUCUUUCUCCGUCACCCAGAAGCCACAGCCUUGGUACUUGAAUGACAUAACUGCAAGCAAAUAUCAUUACAGACUUCAUUCUUGAUCUGUGUGCCAUCUACAGGUCAGGUUUGGUAGUUCUUUGAGUAAACAUUGACAGUGGGAUCUGAGAAGUCAUGUGAAUUCAUAGGCAGUACCUACUUUGGUUAUGAUUUUUGUAAUUCACUCACCCCUGCUGUAAACCUUUCCAGAGAAGUUUGCAGACAACUAAUGUUUGAAUCUUGGAGGGUUGUAGGUCAACUCUUGGAACCAUUUGUGAAUAAUGAAGCACUGCUUCUUUGAAAUCAGCAUGCACGUUCUUGAAACCAGCCACCUGAAAAUCCAGAGCGGAUAAUGCUUUCCCAUGUUAUCAUCUACAAUGUACCUGGUCUUACCCCCAAAGUGAAGUUGAGAAAAAAGCAUCAUUUCAGACAUUUUAAAAACUAGACUGGUCAAAGCUUAGAAAUUAUACAGUAAAGCACCAACCUGCACUGGUAGGGAGAAUGAUCAAAUGCCAUAAGAGGGCUUUUCUCUUUCCCCCCCCGCCCCCUUUACUUAUAUGCUGCCCUUUGUUUAUUUUUUCCACACCGGUCAAUUUCGCUUUGUAGUCCACAUCACUCUCUAGUUCUCAUGUGCUAGCAUAAAGAUGUUAUUUGGGUUACCCAAACUACUAAAGAAUACUUACACUGAUGGUUUUGGAUUUUAAAUUAUUAUUUUUAUUCCAAUUUUGAAUGUGUAACCCCUUUAUUUUUCUAGAAAACUAAAACCUUGUGCCUGAUCUACAGUACUUGUGCCAGUAUUGCCUCUUUUUCUUAUUACUGUAUUGGAUUAGCUAAUACAGUAUACAGCUGUCAUUGUAAAAUGCUUGAAGUAUAACCCAUUGGCCUGUUACUUGAACUACCACACUAUCUUGUACCUUGAUACAAAAAAUGAGCUGUAAAAGAUUAACAUUACUGUACUGUAUUAGGUGACCCUGGUGCAAUACCUAUGAGAUACAAUGAACAAGAUAAACAUG
Molecule: long non-coding RNA, 1529 nt
Organism: Chelonia mydas (Green sea turtle)
Lineage: Eukaryota; Metazoa; Chordata; Testudines; Cheloniidae
Exons: 5
Source: RefSeq, a predicted model, not a curated record